RNAcentral lists this transfer RNA (72 nucleotides) under Bacteroidota bacterium. RNAcentral's name for it is "Bacteroidetes bacterium tRNA-Ser". The record is from RNAcentral. Lineage: Bacteria; Pseudomonadati; Bacteroidota.
GGGGGAUUAGCUCAGUUGGCUAGAGCAUCCCUUGAAGGGAGGGUCGCCGGUUCGAAAGCUGUGCAUCCUGCA